AUGACUAUUAAGGAGCAGCACUGUCCUAAACCACGAACAAAUUUCUCUCCUAAACCCUCCUGUGUUGAACAGAUGUCCAUCAACAAUCAUUUACUAAGCACCUACUAUGUGUUAAACACCAUACUAGGUUCUGGGGAUACAAAGAUGCAAGCGAAAUGUUCUUGCCUUCAAUUAGUACAAAUGAUCCUAUUGUUCAAUAUGUUCGCUGCUCCUCAAAGAUUUUUUUCAUUUUUGAAUUUGAUGAACAUGCCAUCUAUGCCUUUAUCCAAACAAUUGAUGUUCAUUUUGAGCCAGAGAGAGAAAAGAAAGAUAUGAUUCUGAGGAAUUCCAAGGAACAGGAGAAAGGGGGGAACAACAGAGAGACUAUGUUGUUUAGCCUCAAUUUGGAGAAAAGAUAAACAGAUCAAGAUGACCCUGGAAUCAGGACUUCUUGCCAGGGCUUCUGUGAAGCCCCAGGCUGGAUCUACUCUUCCAAGAGCCAGUAAAAGGAAAUUGUCUUUAAUGCUUUUAUAUUAUUAAUAAUAAAAUAAGCGAUCAUAUUUGAUUCUCUUGGUAA
This 556-nucleotide long non-coding RNA is filed under the name Monodelphis domestica (gray short-tailed opossum). RNAcentral's name for it is "lncRNA (ENSMODG00000033575.2)". The record is from RNAcentral. Lineage: Eukaryota; Metazoa; Chordata; Mammalia; Didelphimorphia; Didelphidae.